AGCCAACAGUGUUCACCUGGGAGGGGGAGGGAAGGGACCGGAGGAAUGGGGCUCCGCUUUGAAGGUCAGAGAGCAUCUCGGAGCUGUCACGGCCCGGCUGCCCGCCGCGCGGGACCAACUUCCUUCCCGUCCUCGCCGAUACCGACAAGGCACCUAGGCCGCGGCGAGGACGGCGCGGAGUGGCGGUGGAUGUGAUGGGGGGGGAGGAGGAGGCGAUCAGCAGCAGCAGCAGCAGAGGCUGGAGCGAUCGCUGUGAGGGACUGUUUUCUGACUGUCAGACAGACCCGCUCCUCCUCCCUGCCUUUUCCCUUCAUCUCUCCUCCUCCAACAUCGGCAGAAUGUUUUAACCUCUCGGAAGACCCUGGCGUAUCUGCUGUUAUGGUGGCAGGAGUGGGAUUCUUCACCUCAGCAGGACCUGUGUGGGAAAAAGCCCUGCUUGGUAUUUAAAAGCGGAAGGGCUUUUUGCUGUAAGACAAAUUGAAACGCAGGAGGCUAGAGAGGAAUGUGGCUGUCAGAGUCAACAGCUGCUAGUUUUUCGCUGUGAAUAAUCAUUGAGGUUGACCCAUGGAAGCUGAGGAUUGUGUAACACAUAUUUCACAAAAUUAAAGGUCAAUGCAAACAUA
Long non-coding RNA from Gasterosteus aculeatus aculeatus (three-spined stickleback), 623 nucleotides. The record is from Ensembl. NCBI's taxonomy places the organism in Eukaryota, Metazoa, Chordata, Actinopteri, Perciformes, Gasterosteidae.